AUUGAUUUUAUGCUUGCAUAAAUGAUUUUUGGAUUCGGAGCGAGUGGCGAACUGGUGAGUAACACGUGGGUAACCUGCCCCGAAGCGGGGGAUAACAUUUGGAAACAAGUGCUAAUACCGCAUAAUUAGUUGGAACCGCAUGGUUCCAACUUGAAAGAUGGCUCUGCUAUCACUUUGGGAUGGACCCGCGCCGUAUUAGUUAGUUGGUGAGAUAAAAGCCCACCAAGACGAUGAUACGUAGCCGACCUGAGAGGGUAAUCGGCCACAUUGGGACUGAGACACGGCCCAGACUCCUACGGGAGGCAGCAGUAGGGAAUCUUCCACAAUGGACGAAAGUCUGAUGGAGCAACGCCGCGUGAGUGAUGAAGGUUUUCGGAUCGUAAAACUCUGUUGUUAAAGAAGAACAAGUGUUAGAGUAACUGUUAACACUUUGACGGUAUUUAACCAGAAAGCCACGGCUAACUACGUGCCAGCAGCCGCGGUAAUACGUAGGUGGCAAGCGUUGUCCGGAUUUAUUGGGCGUAAAGCGAGCGCAGGCGGUUUUGUAAGUCUGCUGUGAAAGCCCUCAGCUCAACUGAGGAAGUGCAGUGGAAACUACAAAACUUGAGUACAGAAGAGGAAAGUGGAACUCCAUGUGUAGCGGUGAAAUGCGUAGAUAUAUGGAAGAACACCAGUGGCGAAGGCGGCUUUCUGGUCUGUUACUGACGCUGAGGCUCGAAAGCAUGGGUAGCGAACAGGAUUAGAUACCCUGGUAGUCCAUGCCGUAAACGAUGAAUACUAGGUGUUGGAGGGUUUCCGCCCUUCAGUGCCGCAGCUAACGCAUUAAGUAUUCCGCCUGGGGAGUACGACCGCAAGGUUGAAACUCAAAGGAAUUGACGGGGGCCCGCACAAGUGGUGGAGCAUGUGGUUUAAUUCGAUGCUACGCGAAGAACCUUACCAGCUCUUGGCAUCUUCUGCCAACCCAAGAGAUUGGGCGUUCCCUUCGGGGACAGAAUGACAGGUGGUGCAUGGUUGUCGUCAGCUCGUGUCGUGAGAUGUUGGGUUAAGUCCCGCAACGAGCGCAACCCUUAUCAUUAGUUGCCAGCAUUUAGUUGGGCACUCUAGUGAGACUGCCGGUGAUAAA
RNAcentral lists this ribosomal RNA (1123 nucleotides) under uncultured bacterium. RNAcentral describes it as "bacterial SSU rRNA". It matches the Rfam family "Bacterial small subunit ribosomal RNA", at positions 47 to 1162 of the family's 1533-position model. The record is from RNAcentral.